RNAcentral lists this ribosomal RNA (492 nucleotides) under uncultured bacterium. Its description in RNAcentral is "partial 16S ribosomal RNA". It matches the Rfam family "Bacterial small subunit ribosomal RNA", at positions 28 to 507 of the family's 1533-position model. The record is from RNAcentral.
GAUGAACGCUAGCUACAGGCUUAACACAUGCAAGUCGAGGGGAAACGGCAUUGAGUGCUUGCACUCUUUGGACGUCGACCGGCGCACGGGUGAGUAACGCGUAUCCAACCUUCCCAUUACUGUGGGAUAACCUGCCGAAAGGCAGACUAAUACCGCAUAGUCUUCGAUGACGGCAUCAGAUUUGAAGUAAAGAUUUAUCGGUAAUGGAUGGGGAUGCGUCUGAUUAGCUUGUUGGCGGGGUAACGGCCCACCAAGGCGACGAUCAGUAGGGGUUCUGAGAGGAAGGUCCCCCACAUUGGAACUGGGACACGGACCAAACUCCUACGGGAGGCAGCAGUGAGGAAUAUUGGGCAAUGGACGGAAGUCUGAACCAGCCAAGUAGCGUGCAGGAUGACGGCCCUAUGGGUUGUAAACUGCUUUUGUAUGGGGAUAAAGUUAGGGACGGGUCCCUAUUUGCAGGUACCAUACGAAUAAGGACCGACUAAUUCCGUG